ACGCUGGCGGCAGGCUUAACACAUGCAAGUCGAACGGUAGCAGGAGGAAGCUUGCUUUCUUGCUGACGAGUGGCGGACGGGUGAGUAAUGCUUGGGAAUCUGGCUUAUGGAGGGGGAUAACUACGGGAAACUGUAGCUAAUACCGCGUAGUGUCGAGAGACGAAAGUGCGGGACCGCAAGGCCGCAUGCCAUGAGAUGAGCCCAAGUGGGAUUAGGUAGUUGGUGGGGUAAAGGCCUACCAAGCCUGCGAUCUCUAGCUGGUCUGAGAGGAUGGCCAGCCACACUGGAACUGAGACACGGUCCAGACUCCUACGGGAGGCAGCAGUGGGGAAUAUUGCGCAAUGGGGGGAACCCUGACGCAGCCAUGCCGCGUGAAUGAAGAAGGCCUUCGGGUUGUAAAGUUCUUUCGGUAUUGAGGAAGGAGUGUAUGUUAAUAGCAUACAUUAUUGACGUUAAAUACAGAAGAAGCACCGGCUAACUCCGUGCCAGCAGCCGCGGUAAUACGGAGGGUGCGAGCGUUAAUCGGAAUAACUGGGCGUAAAGGGCACGCAGGCGGUUAUUUAAGUGAGGUGUGAAAGCCCCGGGCUUAACCUGGGAAUUGCAUUUCAGACUGGGUAACUAGAGUACUUUAGGGAGGGGUAGAAUUCCACGUGUAGCGGUGAAAUGCGUAGAGAUGUGGAGGAAUACCGAAGGCGAAGGCAGCCCCUUGGGAAUGUACUGACGCUCAUGUGCGAAAGCGUGGGGAGCAAACAGGAUUAGAUACCCUGGUAGUCCACGCUGUAAACGCUGUCGAUUUGGGGAUUGGGCUUAAAGCUUGGUGCCCGUAGCUAACGUGAUAAAUCGACCGCCUGGGGAGUACGGCCGCAAGGUUAAAACUCAAAUGAAUUGACGGGGGCCCGCACAAGCGGUG
This 910-nucleotide ribosomal RNA is filed under the name uncultured bacterium. RNAcentral's name for it is "bacterial SSU rRNA". It matches the Rfam family "Bacterial small subunit ribosomal RNA", at positions 33 to 934 of the family's 1533-position model. The record is from RNAcentral.